This 485-nucleotide ribosomal RNA is filed under the name uncultured bacterium. Its description in RNAcentral is "partial 16S ribosomal RNA". It matches the Rfam family "Bacterial small subunit ribosomal RNA", at positions 29 to 523 of the family's 1533-position model. The record is from RNAcentral.
AAUGAACGUUGGCGGCGUGGAUUAGGCAUGCAAGUCGUGCGGAAAGGCCCCGCAAGGGGUACUCGAGCGGCGAAAGGGAUAGUAAUGCGUAGAUUACCUACCCCCGGGACCCGGAUAGCUGCGGGAAACUGCAAUUAAUACGGGAUGACGUCUGCGGACCAAAGGUGUGAUUCCGCCCGGAGACGGGUCUGCGUCCUAUUAGCUUGUUGGUGAGGUAACGGCUCACCAAGGCAACGAUGGGUAGCGGGUGUGAGAGCACGACCCGCAUCACUGGGACUGAGACACUGCCCAGACACCUACGGGUGGCGGCAGUCGAGGAUCUUCGGCAAUGGGCAAAAGCCUGACCGAGCGACGCCGCGUGUGGGAUGAAGGCCCUCGGGUUGUAAACCACUGUCAGAGGAGAGGAAGUGUUGGGGGGAUCACCCCUCAGCUUGACCUAUCCUCAAAGGAAGGACGGGCUAAGUUCGUGCCAGCCGCCGCGGUAA